GAUGAACGCUGGCGGCGUGCCUAAUACAUGCAAGUCGAGCGGAAAGGCCUCUUCGGAGGUACUCGAGCGGCGGACGGCUGAGUAACGCGUAGGAACGUACCCCAAAGUGAGGGAUAACUGCUCGAAAGAGUAGCUAAUACCGCAUGUGAUCUCCGGAUUAAAGCCUUAUGCGCUUUGGGAACGGCCUGCGUCCGAUUAGCUUGUUGGCGGGGUAAAAGCCCACCAAGGCGAUGAUCGGUAGCUGGUCUGAGAGGAUGAUCAGCCAGACUGGGACUGAGACACGGCCCAGACUCCUACGGGAGGCAGCAGUAGGGAAUUUUCCACAAUGGGCGAAAGCCUGAUGGAGCAACGCCGCGUGCAGGAUGAAUGCCUUCGGGUUGUAAACUGCUUUUGUUAGUGACGAUUAUGACGGUAGCUAACGAAUAAGGAUCUGCUAACUACGUGCCAGCCGCCGCAGUAA
RNAcentral lists this ribosomal RNA (460 nucleotides) under uncultured bacterium. Its description in RNAcentral is "partial 16S ribosomal RNA". It matches the Rfam family "Bacterial small subunit ribosomal RNA", at positions 28 to 523 of the family's 1533-position model. The record is from RNAcentral.